CGGGGGGAGCAAGCGUUGUUCGGAUUUACUGGGCGUAAAGGGCGCGUAGGCGGCCACCGCAAGUCGACUGUGAAAUCUCCGGGCUUAACCCGGAAAGGUCAGCCGAUACUGCGGGGCUAGAGUGCAGAAGGGGCAACUGGAAUUCUCGGUGUAGCGGUGAAAUGCGUAGAUAUCGAGAGGAACACCUGCGGCGAAGGCGGGUUGCUGGGCUGACACUGACGCUGAAGCGCGAAAGCUAGGGGAGCGAACGGGAUUAGAUACCCCGGUAGUCCUAGCCUUAAACGAUGAAUGCUUGGUGUCUGGGGUUUUAUAGUCCCCGGGUGCCGUCGCUAACGCUUUAAGCAUUCCGCCUGGGGAGUACGGUCGCAAGACUG
This 374-nucleotide ribosomal RNA is filed under the name uncultured organism. RNAcentral describes it as "bacterial SSU rRNA". It matches the Rfam family "Bacterial small subunit ribosomal RNA", at positions 526 to 896 of the family's 1533-position model. The record is from RNAcentral.